This 484-nucleotide ribosomal RNA is filed under the name uncultured bacterium. RNAcentral's name for it is "partial 16S ribosomal RNA". It matches the Rfam family "Bacterial small subunit ribosomal RNA", at positions 30 to 507 of the family's 1533-position model. The record is from RNAcentral.
AUUGAACGCUGGCGGCAGGCCUAACACAUGCAAGUCGAGCGGUAGAGAGAAGCUUGCUUCUCUUGAGAGCGGCGGACGGGUGAGUAAUGCCUAGGAAUCUGCCUGGUAGUGGGGGAUAACGUUCGGAAACGGACGCUAAUACCGCAUACGUCCUACGGGAGAAAGCAGGGGACCUUCGGGCCUUGCGCUAUCAGAUGAGCCUAGGUCGGAUUAGCUAGUUGGUGGGGUAAUGGCUCACCAAGGCGACGAUCCGUAACUGGUCUGAGAGGAUGAUCAGUCACACUGGAACUGAGACACGGUCCAGACUCCUACGGGAGGCAGCAGUGGGGAAUAUUGGACAAUGGGCGAAAGCCUGAUCCAGCCAUGCCGCGUGUGUGAAGAAGGUCUUCGGAUUGUAAAGCACUUUAAGUUGGGAGGAAGGGCGGUAAAUUAAUACUUUGCUGUUUUGACGUUACCGACAGAAUAAGCACCGGCUAACUCUGUG